This is a long non-coding RNA of Panthera uncia (snow leopard), 1021 nucleotides long. RefSeq lists it as uncharacterized. Lineage: Eukaryota; Metazoa; Chordata; Mammalia; Carnivora; Felidae. The record is from RefSeq and is a predicted model, not a curated record. The transcript is spliced from 4 exons.
ACAACUAAAUACGUCAUCUGAGGUCAUAAAGUUACUCAGUAGGGAAAGUCAGCUUCAGAGCCAGCGUGUUUUAUUUCAGAGUCAUGUUCUUAAUCACACGUUUUUGGCUUCCAGACACAGGGCAGGAAAUGAUCAGAGAGGGUUCUAGAUGUGGGGGCAGCACUGUCAUUUUCUCUGGUGGUGAAGGAGCAUGACGUGUUGAAGAACAGAAGCUCCCCUUCUGUUGAAGGAAUUCUGAGUCGUUCCUUGACCUGCAGGAGCAAAGUAGGAAAGGUGGCGGAAGAUGGGCUGAAGGUGUUGCCAACAGGAGGGGAUGGAGAACCCGGCAGUGUGCAGCUGAAAUCUUCCCUCUUGUGCUUGGGCCAGAUAGCGGUGCGAGCAUCUUUAGCCCUCAGUGCGAAGCUCCUGGAGAAACCUGCUUUGUCGGGUCCUGAGGCUGGAACUGAGAAAGACCACGAAGCCUGCAAGGCUGCAGGCUGCACGAAGUCAUUUGCCACAGGAAAACAAUUCCCCCGGGGCAGUUUGGGGGUGACUGGUGUUCCUGAAGUUCACCUGGAUCUGGCUCCUGCUGGCUUGGGGCAGCAUACUCUAGGUGGAUCUGUCCUUUCAGCUGCAUACCGGUUGUGAUGAUUCUGAAUCCCUCCUAAACUGGGGGUGAGGGAAAGUGGAGAGAAAAAGGCAGCGAGGAAGUCCUCACUCGCCUGAUACUCUCCUGAUGAUCAUGCAUCAUCUUCUCUCUGAACUUGGCAGCUUCAAUCAGAGUGCUCGUUUGUAGAGUACAAAUAUGACCACAUGACUCUCCUGCUUGGAACCCCUCAGUGAGAACCCUUGCAAUGAGGAAGAUGGACAGCACACAAGUUGACAGCAAGUCAUUACCAAAUCGGAUGCUCAGGCAAAGACCAAAGGAGGAAGAGCCUAUGGGAUGGUGCUGCCUUUUGCUCACAGCCUCGAUUUUAUGAGCGUGUCCUCAUUGAAAAGUCCCCGGGCCCCUCUGGCAGUUGUCGCGAUAUUAGGAUCUCCC